Long non-coding RNA from Spea bombifrons (plains spadefoot toad), 512 nucleotides. RefSeq lists it as uncharacterized. The transcript has 2 exons. NCBI's taxonomy places the organism in Eukaryota, Metazoa, Chordata, Amphibia, Anura, Pelobatidae. The record is from RefSeq and is a predicted model, not a curated record.
GUGCACUCACUUGAAGGUCACAAACAGGCUGGAGGGGGGCUGUAUUGGCGUUUUAAGGGCAGCGACUGCCAUAUAACAUAAAACGAGGCUGCCUGCGGGAUAACGCCAGACCAGGAGAGUACGGGGUGCUGUGGCCUGCUGCCCACCAGGUAUUAGCCUGGCGUGCCGGAUGGCCAGUCUGGGCCCAAUCACAAAAGUAUUACCUUUCAGAUAGUGUUGCAAUAAAACAAAAACUAUGUUUAGUUCCCGGGAUGGCUGGCAAAAGUGGUCAGGGGGGCAAUUUUGUGCCUAUACAUUAAACUUGCCAAUUUUGCACCAGGGGACUUGCAUAAAAAGCACUAACAACCUGACUGGGUCCUUUCUGUGUUCCUAUUAUGGGGCUUGCAUCUGCAUGUAAAGGUGUUGUGGACAGUUUACAAUGGGUGCAUUGUCUGCCAGUGUGUUCUGCUACACACAAACACACUAUAUAUUGUGUGUGAAAUAUAUAUUAUAUACACACAUACAUUUAUAUA